GCUUAGAAGCAGCCAUCCUUGAAAGAGUGCGUAAUAGCUCACUGGUCGAGUGGUUCUGCGCCGACAAUGUAGUGGGGCUCAAGUACACCGCCGAAGCCGCGGCAUAGUUUUUACUAUGGGUAGGGGAGCGUCGUGCAUGGGGUGAAGCCAUACUGUAAGGGGUGGUGGACUGUGUGCGAGUGAGAAUGCAGGCAUGAGUAACGAGAGAUACGUGAGAAUCGUAUCCGCUGGAUGACUAAGGGUUCCUGGGUCAAGUUCGUCUUCCCAGGGUGAGUCGGGUCCUAAGGCGAGGCCGACAGGCGUAGUCGAUGGUCAACGGGUUGAUAUUCCCGUACCCGUAUGCAUGCGACAAAGAGUGAAGCGGUGAUACUAACCACCCUGAACUGGCAACAUGCGCGCCACUUGUGGUGUGUGGUUGUUGGUGAUGCGUGGGGCCUGAUCCGUGGUAGUUCAGUGAUGGGGUGACGCAGUCAGGUAGCCGCGCCAAGUGUUGGAUAUCUUGGUGUAAGCGUGUGGCACGUCGACUUGUGAAAUGCGGUCGAUAUUUUGUGUGAGGCGUGAUGCGUAGCCCAAUUGUGGGUGAUGGUGGUGAUCCUUUGCUGUCGAGAAAAGCCUCUAGCGAUGUGUGUGUAUGGCCCGUACCCGAAACCGACACAGGUGGUCAGGUAGAGAAUACUAAAGCGGUCGGGUGAACUGUGGUUAAGGAAUUCGGCAAAUUGCCCCCGUAACUUCGGGAGAAGGGGGGCCCUUGCUGGUUGCAUGCCUUUUUCGGUGUGUUGCUGGUGGGGGUCGCAGAGAAUAGAGGGGAGCGACUGUUUAUCAAAAACACAGGUCCGUGCGAAGACGGUUAAGUUGAUGUAUACGGACUGACGCCUGCCCGGUGCUGGAAGGUUAAGAGGACCUGUUAGGACUUUUUGUCCGAAGCGGAGAAUUUAAGCCCCAGUAAACGGCGGUGGUAACUAUAACCAUCCUAAGGUAGCGAAAUUCCUUGUCGGGUAAGUUCCGACCUGCACGAAUGGCGUAACGACUCCCCUGCUGUCUCAACCACAGGCCCGGUGAAAUUGCAGUACGAGUAAAGAUGCUCGUUUCGCGCGGCAGGACGAAAAGACCCCGGGACCUUCACUAUAGCUUGGUAUUGGUGUUCGGUUCGGUUUGUGUAGGAUAGGUGGGAGACUGUGAUGCGUGCACGCCAGUGUGUGUGGAGUCGUUGUUGAAAUACCACUCUGAUCGGAUUGGAUGUCUAACCUUGGCCCAUGAUCUGGGUUGGGGACAGUGCCUGGUGGGUAGUUUAACUGGGGCGGUUGCCUCCCAAAAUGUAACGGAGGCGCCCAAAGGUUCCCUCAGCCUGGUUGGCAAUCAGGUGGUGAGUGUAAGUGCACAAGGGAGCUUGACUGUGAGACUUACAAGUCGAGCAGGGACGAAAGUCGGGACUAGUGAUCCGGCACCUA
RNAcentral lists this ribosomal RNA (1448 nucleotides) under metagenome. Its description in RNAcentral is "bacterial LSU rRNA". It matches the Rfam family "Bacterial large subunit ribosomal RNA", at positions 1104 to 2429 of the family's 2925-position model. The record is from RNAcentral.